This 253-nucleotide ribosomal RNA is filed under the name uncultured bacterium. Its description in RNAcentral is "partial 16S ribosomal RNA". It matches the Rfam family "Bacterial small subunit ribosomal RNA", at positions 524 to 776 of the family's 1533-position model. The record is from RNAcentral.
UACGUAGGGCGCAAGCGUUGUCCGGAAUUAUUGGGCGUAAAGAGCUCGUAGGCGGCCCUCUCAGUCGGAUGUGAAAUCCCCAGGCUUAACCUGGGAACGGCAUCCGAUACUGGAGGGCUUGAAUUCGGGAGAGGGAUGCAGAAUUCCAGGUGUAGCAGUGAAAUGCGUAGAGAUCGGGAGGAACAUCAGUUGCGAAGGCGGCUCUCUGGACCAGCACUGACACUGAGGCACGAAAGCGUGGGGAGCAAACAGG